UAACCCAUGUACACGUAGAAAGGAACACUUGAACAUUAAGCAUGGGCAGUGCCCUACAACCCUUUUUUUUUUUUUUUGAGAUUAAAAGAAUGAAACUAAUAAAAAGACACCAAGGGGAUGUUGCCCAUUUACAAAAUAUUUACAUCACAGUUAAAGUAUCAAUGAUUUUUCCAAAAUCAUCCCAUCUAUAUAAGUCAUGAUCCAAAAUCAAAGAACCAAAGACGUGUAUCUAUUUAUUUCUAAUUUUUUCUAACUCCCUCUCACACUUAUCAAAAGCUCU
RNAcentral lists this long non-coding RNA (280 nucleotides) under Carica papaya (papaya). Its description in RNAcentral is "long non-coding RNA (CPAP_LNC008358)". The record is from RNAcentral. Lineage: Eukaryota; Viridiplantae; Streptophyta; Magnoliopsida; Brassicales; Caricaceae.